RNAcentral lists this ribosomal RNA (127 nucleotides) under uncultured Roseobacter sp. RNAcentral describes it as "partial 16S ribosomal RNA". It matches the Rfam family "Bacterial small subunit ribosomal RNA", at positions 381 to 525 of the family's 1533-position model. The record is from RNAcentral. Lineage: Bacteria; Pseudomonadati; Pseudomonadota; Alphaproteobacteria; Rhodobacterales; Roseobacteraceae.
GCCUGAUCUAGCCAUGCCGCGUGAGUGACGAACGUCUUAGGAUCGUAAAGCUCUUUCUCCAGAGAUGAUAAUGACAGUAUCUGGUAAAGAAACCCCGGCUAACUCCGUGCCAGCAGCAGCGGUAAUA